Non-coding RNA from Pangasianodon gigas (Mekong giant catfish), 74 nucleotides. NCBI's taxonomy places the organism in Eukaryota, Metazoa, Chordata, Actinopteri, Siluriformes, Pangasiidae. The record is from the annotation of a GenBank genome assembly.
GGCAGUGGUAGCUCAAGGGUUAAGACAUUGGGCUUUUGAUCGGAAGGCCAUGAGUUCAAAUCCCUGCACUGCCA